UUUUCGCAGAGUCUGGGCGGCUCCUCUUCUCCCAGUAUUGACUCAUUCAACACUUCAGUAAUGGCAAGCUUGUAUUUAUUGAAUCAAUUAGGCAACUUGGCUCACAUACAGUGGUUUCCUUCUCUGUGCAAAUUCAUUGGUAUGCUUCUCAUCUUGCUUUAAUUGCAUUUAAUUGUUUGGGUUAGUUGCAUAUUGAUUGGAUGUUGCACUGUUGCAUUUCAUCCUCUUUGCUGUUAAGUUGAGCAGUUUUUUUUGGGAUACAUUUAUUGCUGUUCGAACAAUUUGUUGAUGCUGAAAAUUUAAUGCCAGGAGUAUAUGAGAUUUAAGGUUAUCAGGAGAGUAAAUGCUGAAAAUUAAAUGCCAACAUUAUAUGAGAUUUGAGGAUACAAUAAUUUGUUGAUGCUGUUGUAUUGUUGCAUUAUCAGGGGAGUAAAAUAAUGAAAAUUAAUUAGGACAACUCUAUAUAGAAUUUAUAUAGUGCAGAUUAAAUGGAAAGACCGAGAUACUUACAUUUUAAUAUCUUUAUUCAUUUCCAUAUAACGUUAGAACUUGAUGCGAAUGUAUUGACAAUACUAUGAGAUGAAUGUAUUAGUAUGUUCUUGUUUGAUCGAGGAAGGCAUUUAGUGAAAUAAAUUUCACCUUUAUUUCAAUUAAUUUUUUCGGUUAUUAAUUAUAUUAGUAUGUGAUUGUUUGAUUGAUGAAUAUUGGGGUUAUUAUUGCUAUGGCCAUAUGCUCAUAUUUUGUAGUCCCUCUGUCCCGUUUGCAUUAUUUUCCAUCAUCCGUCCCACUUAAUUUGUAUUAUUUUUAUUUUUGAAUAAUGGUCUACCACUUUCUUUUAAUCUCAUCUAUAUAUUUUAACUCUCUUUUAAUUUUAAUUGCGCAAUUUAUUUUCUCUCUUCAUUUAUUAUCACAUUCUUAAAAUUAACCAUCUUUCUCUUCGAUGCAAAUCAAAGAGGACAUAGGGAAUAUUUAUUUAGUCAGUAUUGUUGAAUUAUCGAUUUUAAUGCUGAUAGAAUGACACUGAAAACCGGUGAAUUGGAUUUUAAUAAUUUUUACGGAUCUGAUUAUUAUCUUAAUGUAUUUAUUCUAUUGACAUGAUUUAAUUGAUAAUUAAUGAAUAAAUGGCAAUGAAUAAAAGGUUGUUUACUGCCUUUCUAUUUUAUGUUUGGUUUGAAGGAAACCAUUAUAUGGUAGUAAAUUGAAUUGAAUUUUGGUUAUUCGUUGUUUGGUUUAAUGGAAAUUGUUAAGAUUAGGUAAGUGAAAAAUCAUAGAGGGGAAAUGAGGACUUAAACUUGAUGCAACAAAUUUUAACUGAAAGUUAUUAGUUUUAUUGCUAAAUGUACUAAUGAAGAUUGGCUGUUUUCAUAUUGAAUGUGUUGUAUUACUGCUUAUUGUGGUUAUGGUGCUGCUAUUUUGAUACUACUGAUAUGUGUCCUGCUGUUCAACAACCAAAAUCAAUUCAUGGGCAAAUAAAAAAUUGACAAGAGAACAAAUUGGGAAUUCAAAAUCGCAAACCAACUACAACUAACAAUUGAGACAAAAAAGGUUGAGCCAAUUAAAACAUCUGGGUAAUGGAUAAAAACUCGCAACAAGGUUGUAGUAAACCAUUAUGCACAACAAAUGUUGUUUUAUAUGAUUUAUUGAAGAAAGCUGGCAUUAUAUAACACACUAAUGCCAAGGUAUUGUUUUUUUUGUAUUUAUUAUACAGUUUCACAAUGAUAGUUAUAUACAAUUUUUUAAUCAUGGAUUGUGUCUAAGUUUCGUUUUAUCACAUUACACACACUUUACUCAUUCUUUCGCAAGAAUGAAGUGAAUCUUAGCUAUACAAAUUUAAUUUCAUAUUACAAGGUAAGGUUUGCAUAUUAUAUGUAUUGAAGAAUUUAGAUAGAAAUUGAUUUGUUAAGAUGGUUUUCAUAUUAUAUCUAUUUUUCUUGCUUUAAUUGAUUAGAAUAGCAAGUGUUACUGACAUUGACUUGCAGUUUCAAUGCUAUUUUUACAGCUACUAAGCGAGAGGCAUUUGUUUAUAGCCUAUGCCGCUUUCUCGUCACUUCUGCUGUGAAGUUGUUGUGCCCUUUCAUUUGCUGCAGUUAUGCUUAUGCUGUGAUUAACUUUAUCAACUUACAAUGUUAGCGUUGUGUUAAAGUUCAACAACUAUCUUUGUACUUGAACUUUUAACAGGGUGAUCCUGUAUAGGAGCAAUCUCCAUGAACUGUGGUCACUUCUGAACUUUUUAUUGCCAGAGAUUUUUAGUUCUGAAGAAACAUUUGAUGAGCUCAACAACUUCAUAAGGUAAGUUCCAGAUUGGAAUUAUCUGUUGAAUCUUUUUGUUCACUUCUUUUCUUUAACUGUUCUUUUUCCAUAUCUUUUCUUUUAACUGUUCUUUGUCCAAAUCUUUUCUUGAAUGUGUGUUCACUUGGUUAGGGGUGUUUUCCCCUAUAUAUUUAGGGAAAGCUUUGAUUGUUAUGAAGAAUUUAAGGGGCCUGUUCUGAGAAAAAUAAUUGUGCGUGCCACUUUUGCUAUUGUGGUGUACAAUAUUUAAGGGGCCAGAAAAAUAAUUGUUAUGGACCGUCACUUAACAAUGCUUAUGUGAACUCAUUGUUACAUAAGUUGUUGGGGUUUGUGCUGCUUUCUGUAGGUUGGGGGCUUUUGGUGUGCAGCUUUGUAGUGUCCUGCUUUAUUUGUUGCUGCUAUUUUGUGUUGGGCUGGAGUGCUGGUUGGUGUCUGAUGUCUGAUGUCUGUUGUGUGUUCCUUGGGUGAUUUUCUGUUGCUGGUUGGGAGUGUACAGCUGUUUGCCUGGUGCAAUUUGGGUGCAGAAGUAGAUUGCUGUUUUAGUGUGGGUGUGCAGUUUGGCAGUGUGAUCUGGUGUGCUGUUUAGUGUAGCAGUUUGUCUAUUGCUACUGUCUUGUGUAUGGUGUAGAAUUGGUGUGCAGUAGCAGGUUGUGUGCAUCUGUGGGAUCUUGAAGUUGUUACUGCUGGUAGAGAGCGUAAACGCCUUCUGAAUAUCGCCAUGCAGCUGAGAAAAUGUUGUAAUCAUCCACAUUUAUUCCAAGGUACUGAACCUGGUCCACCACCUUACACCAUAGGAGACCACUUGAUUACUAAUGCUGGUAAGUUUUGGAUCCCCAAAAGUAACAGUGCAUGGCUUCUUUUAAUAAGACAUCAGUGACCGAUAGUUCCUACUUCUAGGAAAAAUGGUUUUGCUGGAUAACUUGCUUCCUAAGUUGAAAGGGUUUGAAUCUUUUCACAAAUGAUUGUUUUUUGAAAAUCCAGUUUGCUUUGGUUCCCCUAUCAGUCCAAAAAACUGUCUGUGUUCUGCAAUAAACAUCAGAUGACAAUGAAUUAAGUGCCAGUAUCGGGUCGGGCUAGAAUUUUAAAUGUGAGCGAGUCAAAGCCACUUGAACCACCCCUACUUAUUUAAAAAAAAUUCAUUGAGUGAUCUUUUAGUCUAAUUUUGUAUUCCGUUGAAUCGGCCAGCCUAUAUAUAUAAUGUCAUAAAAAAAAAAUUUGUGAAGAUUUUUAUGAAAACUAAGCCUUAUAAUGACCCUAACAGUUAGCAAAACCCUUGAUAUUUUACCAUUUCAUUUUACAUGUAACAUUAAAUAAUAUAGUCGUAUUCUCAUUGUUAUAUUUAAUGGCAUUUAACGAUCUUUCAGUCUCAAAAUAUGUGAUCAGUCACAUGAACUAAAACAAAUCCGCUCUGAAUUAGAAUUUUUAAUCUAAUUAUGGAUCGACUACUUAAACUGUUAUGCCGAACACGCACAUAUAAAAGUAAAACGAGAUUUAUUAUUCUGUAGGUUGCCGAACUAUAUGAAGUUGAUCAAGGGUAAGAAAAAUGCACUCUCAGAAAAAAUAUAUACCCAUUACAUUGUUUUGCAAUCUUCUCCCUCGAUUACUGAGAUCCGAAAGGAUGAAGAAGAAAAGUGUCACACCUUAGCACAACACGAAUUGAGUGUAAUCGAAGUAGAAGUAGAAGAAGAAGAGAACAAACAGGUAACUGAAAAGUUUAGCUUUGAAUUUUCUCCAGGAAGUUCAACAGAUCAGUACUCUGAUGAUCAAGAUGAGGUACAAGAAUUUAAGACACUCAUAAAACAAGUAAUGAACUUUAUGAAUGAUCAAGAUCAAAGAUUCUUCUUGUUUGGAUUUUCAUCAUUAUCUGACACAAAAUUAGGCAGAUCAAAUUCUGGUGACGAACAGAUUGCAGAAUACAUGAAAUUUCAGGUAUAAUCCAAGAAAAUGUCAGAAAGAAAUUGAAUUUGUAAGUGAUGAGUAAGUUUAUGAUGGAUUAUAGUACAAUGUCAGAUCAAAUAACUUUAUGGUCCGUAAAGAAGGUUUUGAAACAGAGAAUGAAAGUAACAAAAAUGCGUAUGCUGAGGUGGAUGUCUGGUAAUACUAUGAUGGAUAGGAUAAGAAAUCAGGAGUUCGGGGGGAAGUUAGGGGUUGCACCUCUUUCCGCAAAGAUGCGGGAGAACAGGUUGAGAUGGUUUGGGCAUGUGCAGAGAAAGACCCACGACGCCCCAGUAAGAAGGAUCAAAAGCAUCAUAGUGGAGGGCAAGAGAAGUCGAGGAAGACCUAGGAGAACGUAGGAGGGUCAUAUUAGAAGUGACCUGCAUGAACUUCACCUCUCCAAGGACCUGACUAGGGAUAGGGGCAGUUGGCGGCGCUUUAUCCACGUCUUAUAUUACUAAAUCCGUCCCUUUGAGCCAUCGUUGGUUAUCGUUCUUUGCCUGUGAUUAUUGCUCUUUACCUCCUUCUUUACUUUUAUCUUUAUUUUUAGUUAUUUGUACGUAUUCUAUUUAUUCUAUUUGUAAGUUGCAGGUUUCUCUAUUAUUGAAGACCUUUCUCGAACCGAGGGACUCUAUAGAUUAAUGUUUAUAAUGAGUUUUCUAAGUGUCACACUCAUUUCUAUAAUUCUAUAAUAACAUCGUACGUACAUUAUUUUUCGUUAGAUCAAUGUUUAUAAUGAAAAAAAGGUUAUUCACAAGCGCUCUGAUGAUAAUAAUUUAAUUAGUCCAGUCUUGUGUGGUUAAGCAAUUUGAGUUCUAUGUAUAAACUGAUGCAUCGAUGUGCAGAAUCUGAAUUCUUUUGAUUCUAAUCUGCAGCUCAGUUUUUUACAAAUAUUAUUUGUUUUUUUUUUUUUUUUAAUGUUUUAUAUUUACAGAGUUAUCUAUGUUUUAUAUUCACUCUCCGCUAGGACAAUGUUUCUUACAAUUGUUUAGCUGCAAAUUUCAGAUUUAAUGUGAACUACCCUUCUUUUGAUAACAAACAGUAGGCUUUAGAAACUUUUACCAAGUACUUUCACUAUGUUUUAGUCAAUUGCUAUUUCCUUUAUUCAACCGUAUUGUUUUUACCAAGUGUUCUUGUUUUUCUAUCUCAGCUCUUCUCUAAGCUCAUCUUAUAUUAAUACUCCAUUAAACAACAUGAAAACGCAAUUGUUCUGAAACAAUAAUCAGCACAACAUUAUCAGCUACAAGGAACUCGACAAAGCUAGUCAAUUGAAUUUUUUAUAUGCUAUUUUAUACUGUGUUGUAGAAGUUUAAACUAUUUUUUGUAUUUCUUCUUAGAUAAUGGAUACCACUGAACCUGAACAUGUUCAAGUUGACUCAGAAGAAGAUUUGGUGGAGGUUAAGAGUAGUGACACAAUGAAUAAGAAGGAUCUUAAAAACAAAGGAGAGUUUUUUCACGUGAGGUGUUGUGCACAUAUCAUGAACUUAGUUCAAGAUGGAUUAUAAGAAAUUGAUGAUGCUGUGAUUAAGGUGAGAGAAGUGUGAAAUAUUGUAAGGGAUCACAAGCUAGAAAACAAUGUUUCUUAAGUUGUAUUGAGCAUGUAGGCCUUCAAAGCUCUAAAGGUUUAAAACAAGAUGUCAUAACACGAUGAAAUUCCACAUAUUUAAUGCUUGAAAGUGCAUUGUAUUACAAGAAAGCUUUAAUUCAUUUUCAGAAAGUUGAUGCUAACUAUAUUUAUUGUCCUAUUGCGGAAGAAUAUGGGCAGAAGCUAUGUCGAUCGUAUUUGGAUUAAGAAAAAUGAUUCAUGUUAAAUCGACAAGGAACCCAAGGAAGACUGGGAUCCUAAUUCUAACAAUUAAUUUGGCUUGCAGGUUCUAGUGAGGGGGAACAACUCAUGGUAUCUCGACAGUGGGUGUUCAAAGCACAUGACAGGAGAUAGAUCAUAAUUUCUCUAACUGGAAACCUAUGAUGAGGGAACUGUGACUUUCGGUGACAACAUGAAAGGUGAAAUCAUCGCCAAAGGAAAAGUAGGAAGGUCAAGUUCCCAUGCAAUUGAUAAUGUAUUUUUAGUCGAGAAUUUAAAACAUAAUUUACUAAGUAUUUCUCAGUUUUGUGACAAAGGUAACUUUGUAAACUUCACUUAUGAAAAAUAUAUUAUUUCUAGGAGUGACACAUGAGACACUGUUCAGGAAGGGAUCCGAAAAGGGAACACUUAUGUUGUGGACAUCAACACUGUUCCCAAAUCGAGUCUAACUCGUCUCAGUGUCAUAGAGGAAGAUCCUUUUCUUUAACACAAAUGUCUAGGUCAUGCUAACCUUAUGAUCAAAAAAACUAGUAAGAGGAUUGCCAUCCAUAAAAUUCCCAAAGGAUGAAAUUUGUGAUCCUUGCGCCAAAGGAAAACAUGUGAGGUCAUCGUUUAAACAAAAGAAUGUGGUGACCACUUCAAAACCGCUUGAAUUAAUUCAUAUGGAUCUUUGUGGACCUAUGAGAAUUCAAAGUCGUAGUGGCA
Molecule: RNA transcript, 6733 nt
Organism: Amaranthus tricolor (Joseph's coat)
Lineage: Eukaryota; Viridiplantae; Streptophyta; Magnoliopsida; Caryophyllales; Amaranthaceae
Gene name: zinc finger BED domain-containing protein DAYSLEEPER-like
Exons: 3
Source: RefSeq, a predicted model, not a curated record